AUAAUACCACAUAAAUGUCAUUAAUAUGUAUGUAUGUGUGUAUGUGUGUAUAUAUAUAUAUAUAUAUAUAUAUAUAUACACACAUACACACAUACAUACAUAUUAAUGACAUUUAUGUGGUAUGUU
Non-coding RNA from Pelobates cultripes (western spadefoot toad), 126 nucleotides. The record is from the annotation of a GenBank genome assembly. Lineage: Eukaryota; Metazoa; Chordata; Amphibia; Anura; Pelobatidae.